RNAcentral lists this unclassified non-coding RNA (383 nucleotides) under Hevea brasiliensis (rubber tree). Lineage: Eukaryota; Viridiplantae; Streptophyta; Magnoliopsida; Malpighiales; Euphorbiaceae. The record is from RNAcentral.
UUAAGUUGAAAGGCAAUAGUGAUUACUAAUAUAUGAGGUGUGUGUGUGCUCUUUAGAAUGCAUGUGUGGGGAUUGUUUCAUGUAGGAGCUAGGAGGCCUUGCUGGUAUAUCUCAGAUUUUCAACUAUUUAUUUAAUUUUAAUCUUUUUGUUACCGUAUAGAAAUUCAAAACCUGAACUCUCAUAUCAUCACAAGAGUGCCAUGGCCAUCAGACAAUACUAUGCCGUUUAAUUUUAUUUUUUUAUAUAUAUACAUCGUAUUAAACAUAUUAUUUUCAUAAAUAUUUAUAAUAGUCGUAUGAUUGCUAAUGAUAGCUUAUCAAUAGAAAAAGAAAUGAACAUAUCAUAUAUCCCUGUUAAUAAAAUAAAGUUGUUUGGAUAUUAG